CUACGGGUUGCACCAGUGAGGAAUAUUGCACAAUGGGGGGAACCCUGAUGCAGCAACGCCGCGUGGAGGAUGACGCAUUUCGGUGUGUAAACUCCUUUUAUAUGUCAAGAAAAUGACGGUAGCAUAUGAAUAAGCACCGGCUAACUCCGUGCCAGCAGCCGCGGUAAUACGGAGGGUGCAAGCGUUACUCGGAAUCACUGGGCGUAAAGGACGCGUAGGCUGUUUAGCAAGUCAGAUGUGAAAUCCAAUGGCUCAACCAUUGAACUGCAUUUGAAACUGCUAGACUAGAGUAUGGGAGGGGGAGAUGGAAUUAGUGGUGUAGGGGUAAAAUCCGUAGAUAUCACUAGGAAUACCUAAAGCGAAGGCGAUCUCCUGGAACAUUACUGACGCUAAGGCGUGAAAGCGUGGGGAGCAAACAGGAUUAGAUACCCCUGUAGUC
RNAcentral lists this ribosomal RNA (439 nucleotides) under uncultured bacterium. Its description in RNAcentral is "partial 16S ribosomal RNA". It matches the Rfam family "Bacterial small subunit ribosomal RNA", at positions 339 to 795 of the family's 1533-position model. The record is from RNAcentral.